This is a long non-coding RNA of Astatotilapia calliptera (eastern happy), 750 nucleotides long. NCBI's taxonomy places the organism in Eukaryota, Metazoa, Chordata, Actinopteri, Cichliformes, Cichlidae. The record is from Ensembl.
CAAAGACAGGAAGUCUAAUGGCUCACCUGUCACCUGCAGCAGGAAGUCUUUGGUCUGCAGUCUCGACCCAGUCUUGUCAAACACCUCCAGCGUGUAGUUUCCGGAGUCUUGGGUCUGAAGUCGGCUGAACUCGAGCGAGCCGUCAGGGAGCAUCGAGCAGCGUCCGUGGGAGCACGUGCUCCGGUUCCAGUUCAGCAGCAGGUACCGCUUCCUCAGGUUGCCAUUCGGCAUAAUCUCAGCUCAGGAUGAGUUCCAGUGACGCGUGGACGAGACCUACGAGGGCCUGAGGGGCGUGGCAGCCAUUGUGGACGACGUACUGGUCUUCGGAGAAACCAAACAGGAGCAUGAUGACUACCUGAGGGCCAUGCUGCAGCGCAGCGGGGAGAGAGGUGUAAAACUGAACCCUGACAAGUGCACCAUCUGCGUCAAAGAGGUCAUGGAUCCAGAUCUCACGAUCGUCCUCCUCGGUUGAACCGGAGUGGGUCAAAGUGCUUCAGCGAACACUAUUUUAGGACGAGCAGCGUUCGAGUCAAAGACUUCCUUCAAAGCGGUGACGACAGGAAUCAGCGAGGAAACGGGACGAGUGUUUGGGAAGCUGUGGUGGACACGCCGGGAGUUUAAGGUUGGGGUAUCAGCUGAGAAAGCUCUGUGUGGACGUCCUUUGGUUCCUCAGACCUCGCCUGUUCCUGCUGGUGCUGAGCGUCGGUCGGUGGGGUUUAUAUCAGAAAAGCUGUAAAAUAAUAAAAUCCU